RNAcentral lists this ribosomal RNA (326 nucleotides) under uncultured Gemmobacter sp. Its description in RNAcentral is "bacterial SSU rRNA". It matches the Rfam family "Bacterial small subunit ribosomal RNA", at positions 505 to 833 of the family's 1533-position model. Lineage: Bacteria; Pseudomonadati; Pseudomonadota; Alphaproteobacteria; Rhodobacterales; Paracoccaceae. The record is from RNAcentral.
GUGCCAGCAGCGGCGGUAAUACGGAGGGGCUAGCGUUGUUCGGAAUUACUGGGCGUAAAGCGCACGUAGGCGGAUCAGAAAGUCAGAGGUGAAAUCCCAGGGCUCAACCUUGGAACUGCCUUUGAAACUCCUGGUCUUGAGGUCGAGAGAGGUGAGUGGAAUUCCGAGUGUAGAGGUGAAAUUCGUAGAUAUUCGGAGGAACACCAGUGGCGAAGGCGGCUCACUGGCUCGAUACUGACGCUGAGGUGCGAAAGCGUGGGAGCAAACAGGAUUAGAUACCCUGGUAGUCCACGCCGUAACGAUGAAUGCCAGACGUCGGGCAGCAU